This 340-nucleotide RNase P RNA is filed under the name uncultured Phascolarctobacterium sp. RNAcentral describes it as "Bacterial RNase P class A". It matches the Rfam family "Bacterial RNase P class A". Rfam says of the family: Ribonuclease P (RNase P) is a ubiquitous endoribonuclease, found in archaea, bacteria and eukarya as well as chloroplasts and mitochondria. Its best characterised activity is the generation of mature 5'-ends of tRNAs by cleaving the 5'-leader elements of precursor-tRNAs. Cellular RNase Ps are ribonucleoproteins. Lineage: Bacteria; Bacillati; Bacillota; Negativicutes; Acidaminococcales; Acidaminococcaceae. The record is from RNAcentral.
UAUGAAAGACGAUCGCUGGAGGACAUAGGAGCCUCAAGAGGAAAGUCCGGGCUGCAUAGGGCAGGAUGGCGGCUAAUGACCGCCGAGGGUGACCUCAGGGCUAGUGCCACAGAAAUGGAGACCGCCGGUGCUUGACCGGUAAGGAUGCAACGGUGCGGUAAGAGCGCACCAGCAGUCUGGUAACAGGCUGGCUAGGUAAACCCCAUUCGCAGCAAGACCAAAUAGGGGAGGGAUGAAGCUGCCCGCCGACCUCCCGGGUUGCGUCGCUAGAGACUGCAGGCGACUGCAGUAGUAGAUAAAUGAUCGUCAUCGCGUAAGCGAAACAGAACCCGGCUUAAUG